Molecule: ribosomal RNA, 495 nt
Filed under: uncultured bacterium
Lineage: Bacteria
Description: partial 16S ribosomal RNA
Rfam family: Bacterial small subunit ribosomal RNA
Source: RNAcentral
GACGAACGCUGGCGGCGUGCCUAAUACAUGCAAGUAGAACGCUGAAGGAGGAGCUUGCUCUUCUGGAUGAGUUGCGAACGGGUGAGUAACGCGUAGGUAACCUGCCUGGUAGCGGGGGAUAACUAUUGGAAACGAUAGCUAAUACCGCAUAACAGUAGAUGUUGCAUGACAUUUGCUUAAAAGGUGCAAUUGCAUCACUACCAGAUGGACCUGCGUUGUAUUAGCUAGUUGGUGGGGUAACGGCUCACCAAGGCGACGAUACAUAGCCGACCUGAGAGGGGGAUCGGCCACACUGGGAAUGAGACACGGCCCAGACUCCUACGGGAGGCAGCAGGAGGGGAUCUUCGGCAAUGGACGGAAGGCUGACCGAGCAACGCCGCGUGAGUGAAGAAGGUUUUCGGAUCGGAAAGCUCCGUUGUAAGAGAAGAAAGAGUGUGAGAGUGGAAAGUUCACACUGUGACGGUAUCUGACCAGAAAGGGACGGCUAACUACGUG